AAAGGGGACGGAGGGGAUUAAGUCGUUCUCGCCCCGGGUGUGCCGGAAACGACUUAAUCCCCUCCGUCCCCUUU
Molecule: non-coding RNA, 74 nt
Filed under: Stenotrophomonas sp. AG209
Lineage: Bacteria; Pseudomonadati; Pseudomonadota; Gammaproteobacteria; Lysobacterales; Lysobacteraceae
Source: RNAcentral